Molecule: small nuclear RNA, 107 nt
Filed under: Jaculus jaculus (lesser Egyptian jerboa)
Lineage: Eukaryota; Metazoa; Chordata; Mammalia; Rodentia; Dipodidae
Source: RNAcentral
AUGCUCACUUCGGCAGCACAUAUACUAAAAUUGGAAUGAUACAGAGAAGAUCAGCAUGGCCCCUGCACAAGGAUGACACACAAAUUCGUGAACCAUUCCAUAUUUUU